This 851-nucleotide long non-coding RNA is filed under the name Homo sapiens (human). RNAcentral describes it as "HSALNT0006977". The record is from RNAcentral. Lineage: Eukaryota; Metazoa; Chordata; Mammalia; Primates; Hominidae.
AAAAAUGAAGUUUAAAGCAUGCUGUUUUCAAAUACCGUAUAUGAAAUGGGUGUUCUACAGUCAUCAAUUGUUUCCUGCAUCCACAGAAGACAGAGAAAAAAGACUUAAAGAUAACUCACCAGGCCUGUGCCAAAGAAAUCAAUCAGAUAACCUCUGGAGAUCCCUUUUAGCAAUCUGUAAGCCUCAACACAGUGUUUCUUACACAAAGAGUUAUUGCCAUUUCAAUUUAGAAACUUGGCAAAAAGAAAAUGCUCAGCAUUUCAUUUUAUUGAACAUGAACACAAUUGCUAUAAUUCACAUUCCUUCUCAAAAACCUUAAAUGGUUCCAGUGUUACAAGAAAAUACCUGAAAGCCUGUGAUCUAGCCGUAAUGUUCAGUUUUAGUUUCACUUUUUGCUCUACUCAGACUUUUUUAUUCAUCUUUCCCCAAAUUCAUCAUUAUGAAUGACUACUCACCUUCACAUCUCUUAUCUGGUAUACCAAGGUGGCUUUUGAAAUGCCUUUCCUACUCUUCUCCAUUUAAAAUUUGCUUUUCCGGGCCGGGCGCAGUGGCUCACACCUGUAAUCCCAGCACUUUGGGAGGCUGAGGUGGGCAGAUCACCUGAGGUCUGGAGUUCGAGACCAGCCUGGCCAACAUGGCAAAACCCCAUCUUUACUAAAAAUGCAAAAAAAUUAGCUGGGUGUGGUGGCAGGUGCCUGUAAUCCCAGCUCCUAGGGAGGCUGAGGCAGGAGAAUCGCUUGAACCCGGGAGACGGAGGUUGCAGUGAGCCAAGAUAGCGCCAUCCCACUCCGGCCUGGGGGAUAAGAGCAAAACUACAUCUCAAAAAAAAAGAAAAACUUGGCAAGACUCCA